This 484-nucleotide ribosomal RNA is filed under the name uncultured bacterium. RNAcentral describes it as "partial 16S ribosomal RNA". It matches the Rfam family "Bacterial small subunit ribosomal RNA", at positions 30 to 507 of the family's 1533-position model. The record is from RNAcentral.
AUUGAACGCUGGCGGCAGGCUUAACACAUGCAAGUCGAGCGGAUGAAUGGAGCUUGCUCCUCGAUUCAGCGGGGAACGGGUGAGCAAUGCCUAGGAAUCUGCCUGGUAGUGGGGCAUAACGUCCGGUAACGGGCGCUACUACCGCAUACGUCCUGCGGGAGACGAUAGUGGAUCUUCGGACCUCACGCUACCAGAUGAGCCUAGGUCGGAUUAGCUAGUUGGUGGGGUAGAGGCCUAACAAGGCGACGAGCCGUAACUGGUCUGAGAGGAUGAUCAGUCAGACUGGAACAGAGGCACGGUGCAGACUCCUACAGGAGGACGCGGUGGAGAAGUUUGGACGAUGGGGCAAAGGGUGAUCGAGUCACGCCGCGAGUGUGAAGAAGGUCUGCGGAUUGUCGAGCACUUAAAGCUGGGAGGAAGGGAAGUAAGUUCAUACCCCGCUGUUUUGACGUUACCGGCAGAAUAAGCACCGGCUAACUUCGUG